UCGUCGCCUUCAACCAUACGCACUUGGAAGCAGUGACAUGUUUAUUUCACCCUCCGAGGUGUCUUGGUCUUUAUAGAAGGUAUCCGUGAUCAGAUUCACUUUCUGUUGGUUGAUGUAUGUGCUCAUGGUCACUAUAAAUUUGAGUCGGCUCCAGGAUGAUAACAUUACGGCCUUCGCCUUCCACUGGAAUGCCUCCAGACACCGUCGACGGCGCAAAAGAAAUGGCAUGAACUGUGCACGCUAUACGACAGAACGACUGAGUUCCUCUGGCAGCGGAUGCUCAGCGCCUAACGAGGCAUCAUUCCGGAGUCGCUGCAGCCAAGCGACGAUGUGUUGGUGAAAUUGUAUGAAGAUCUCCGCGGACAGAAAGUAUCAGCCCUGUUACGAACCUAGAAAAAUUUCGCGCUGAAUUUCAAGCAAGAUCCAACAAGUGAAGCGACACCACCUGUGCCUUAAAUUCUAGCUACAAACCGGAGUCCUAGUAUACUGUUAAAAAUGUGACAACUCAACGGUGAAAAUGCUGGUCAGUGACAACUUUAUUAUUUGGACAAAAGACAAUCACUGCGCGGUAUGUACCGCAGAAAUUUUGGA
This is a long non-coding RNA of Dermacentor albipictus, 591 nucleotides long. RefSeq lists it as uncharacterized. The record is from RefSeq and is a predicted model, not a curated record. NCBI's taxonomy places the organism in Eukaryota, Metazoa, Arthropoda, Arachnida, Ixodida, Ixodidae.